UACGGGAGGCAGCAGUGGGGAAUAUUGCACAAUGGGCGAAAGCCUGAUGCAGCUAUGCCGCGUGUAUGAAGAAGGCCUUAGGGUUGUAAAGUACUUUCAUCGGGGAGGAAAAACAAAACUAAUAAUUUUAUUUCUUGACGUUACCCGAAAAAGAAGCACCGGCUAACUCCGUGCCAGCAGCCGCGGUAAUACGGAGGGUGCUAGCGUUAAUCAGAAUUACUGGGCGUAAAGAGCACGUAGGUGGUUUUUUAAGUCAGAUGUGAAAUCCCUGGGCUUAACCUAGGAACUGCAUUUUGAAACUGAAAUACUAGAGUAUCGUAGAGGGAGGUAGAAUUCUAGGUGUAGCGGUGAAAUGCGUAGAUAUCUGGAGGAAUACCUGUGGCGAAAGCGGCCUCCUAAACGAAUACUGACACUGAGGUGCGAAAGCGUGGGGAGCAAACGAGGAUUAGACUACC
This 455-nucleotide ribosomal RNA is filed under the name uncultured bacterium. RNAcentral's name for it is "bacterial SSU rRNA". It matches the Rfam family "Bacterial small subunit ribosomal RNA", at positions 340 to 787 of the family's 1533-position model. The record is from RNAcentral.